GCCGAUGCAAGCAAUGAAAAUGUUGUUGAGGCCAUGGGCACUAAUGUGCGCUUUGAUUAUUCAACAGAAUAUUGUACUUGGAACAAAAAAAGAUUUUAUAGGCAUUUUAAAGCAAUAUCAACCAUGUAGGACCAUUUCUAAUUUAUUCAUAAAAAGACAGAAAAUAUAAAAGUGUAGUUUUGUGUAGCAAAGUGAUUGGGAUAGCUGCACAAACCUGAUCAAUUUCUAUUUUGGAACCUUAUAAUAUAUCCGAAUAUAAUAUCCGCUGUAAAUAUAUCUAAUACAUUUUUCAUUUUCUUAGAAGAGUCAGGGCACUGCAUUAUAUAGUUUUCAUGUUCGUUGUUG
This is a non-coding RNA of Pelobates cultripes (western spadefoot toad), 345 nucleotides long. Lineage: Eukaryota; Metazoa; Chordata; Amphibia; Anura; Pelobatidae. The record is from the annotation of a GenBank genome assembly.